RNAcentral lists this long non-coding RNA (2608 nucleotides) under Sus scrofa (pig). Its description in RNAcentral is "lncRNA (ENSSSCG00005001274.1)". Lineage: Eukaryota; Metazoa; Chordata; Mammalia; Artiodactyla; Suidae. The record is from RNAcentral.
AAAUUAAAAAAUCUCUUUAUUCAUAUUAGCUCAAUAUUAAUAUAAUAUUAGGUUCACCUUGGAGUCAAAGAUAAAUGAAAUAAUUGGCGAAAUUUGAGAAUAAUUAAAAAGUGAGAAACCAUGCUACAACAGCUACGACCAUCUUGAAAUACAUUUCUUGUGAAAACCCAAGUCUGCUCUGGCGGCGGUUAUAAUCUUGCACAUUUUAAUCCUCAGCCACAUCCUUAUACAGACACAGCCAAGCAUGCAAGACUCAGCUUUUUCUCUCUGUGAAUCAUGCAUAACAGAUUAGCGUAUUUAAAGUUUUGCAUACAUAACCUGAAUAUGUCAUUAAUUUUCAUACAUUUUCAACUUGCAUUUUCUGAGUAACAAAAUGCUUCCAGAGAUUAAAUGUAAAUAUUGACAUCCUUUACAGUUAUGAAUUAAACCUAAAAUGUAACAGUAAUCCUUACAGUGAACCCUGGAAGGAAACACCGCAGGACUUCGCCAAAGCCAUAUGCUGGUGAGACAUCACAGCCAGAUCUCCUGAGCACGAGCCCUCCUUUAUAAUGCUCAACUUGGAGGUGGUCAAAUCAAAUGUAUUUUCGUGGGAUGGACUGGGAUUUGGGAGCUAGUGGAUGCAAACUCUUCUGUUGAAAAUGGAUAAGCCAUGAGGUCCUGCUGUACAGCACGGGGAACCCUAUCCAGUCUCUUGGGAUAGACCAUGAUGGAAGAUAAGAUGAGAAAAAGAAUGUAUAUGUAUGUAUACUGGGUCACGUUGCUGUACAGCAGAAAUGGACAGAACACUGUAAAUCAACUACAAGGAAAAAACCUUCGAAUGAUCAAAUAUAUUUUCUAGGGUUUUCCUCAACAAUACGUGUCUUUGUCAAGGGGGAUAAAUCCACCAGGAAAUUCAUUACCCUCAGCUCGGAACAUCACUAAGGAAUAGCAUCAUUUUAUCAGGCGCUGAGUGCAGGCACUUGCUUCCCUGAGAAAGGCAUUAUUGUCAUUCCAUUUAAGUCCUCUCACCCAUCUUUCACCCCUUCCACCACUGUGGGGUCACCUUCAGCUGCAACCACGAAGGCGGUGACGCUGCUGUAACCAUCGUGAACUCAGACUUGAAUCUGUGCCAGGUUGCGACUCUCUCUGGCCUCCCUGCGCUGUGGCUUUCCUGCUUCCUGGUAACUUUCCCAUCUCAUCAUUUUACAUUUCCAGUCCUCAGAGAACUUCAAAACAUCUACUGACUUUAAAAAAAAAUCAACCUGGAAGCAUCUGGAAGGCAAUGUGUUGAUUCUAAAAGUGGAAUUAGCCACACUGGAAUUUUUUUUUUUUUUUAAACAGCGGCUUCUCAUCUGAUUUGAUCUGCAUGUAACCCCGACAAAAUGUCUAACAUUUCAAAGAUAAAUUAUGGAGUUCCUGUCAUGGCUCAGUGGUUAGCAAACCCGACUGGCAUCCAUGAGGACACGGGUUGGAUCCCUGGCCUUGCUCAGUGGGUUAAGGAUACGGUGUUGCUGUGGCUGUGGUGUAGGGUGGCAGCUGCAGCUCUGAUUUGAUCCCUAGCCUGGGAACCUGCCUGUGCUGCGGGUGCAGCCCUAUAAAGACAAAAGAAAAAGACAAAAACAGCAACAGCAAAAUGAUAAAUUAACAAUUUUUACUACCAAGGUAAAUAUUUGCUUCUCAUGCAUUCUGUUCACUUUUAAUUUCCUAUUUACAGAUAUUAUUUUAAAAACAUCCAUCCUAAUUUCCUUCAAAAUAAGAAGGAUGGGCUGGACUGGCAAUGGCUGGAUGGCUCUGGGGACUGCUGACAGGAAUGCGGUGGUUUGGGAUCCUGUACUGCUUCUGAGUAUGGGGUAAAAUGUCCCUGACUUAAAAAAUAGAAAAGGAGUUCCCAUCGUGGCAGUGGUUAAUGAAUCCGACUGGGAACCAUGAGGUUGCGGGUUCGGUCCCUGCCCUUGCUCAGUGGGUUAACGAUCCGGCGUUGCCGUGAGCUGUGGUGUAGGUUGCAGACGCAGCUCGAAUCCCGCGUUGCUGUGGCUCUGGCGUAGGCCGUACAGCUCCGAUUUGACCCCUAGCCUGGGAACCUCCAUAUGCCGCGGGAGCGGCCCAAAGAAAUAGAAAAAAGACAAAAAAAAAAAAAAAGAAAAAACUGUAAUGCCCAAGUGAUGGCACUGCUGUACAAUGAGCUAUUUAAGCAAACACUGAAACAUCUUUACCAAUAAAGAAAAACCCAAAUAUAUAUGAAAAAAAUUCAACAUGUUUAAAAUAAUUCAUUUUAGCUUUGGGGAUUAAUUUUACUUUUUUUAAGAAAACAAUUCUAAACAUUCAUGACCUGAAAAACCAGUUUGUUACUGAGCUGCUGCCCAUCAUCUACUUAUGACUCCGUCAUCAGAGUUCCCGUCGUGGCUCAGCAGUAACGAACACGACUAGUAUCCCAAGGGGUUUUUAGGUGCGGCCCUAAAACAAACAAACAAAAUCCUAGGGGAAAGUUCAUGUUUGAGAAAGACGUGGUGCAGUAGGUCAAGAAUCCAACCGCAGUGGCUUGAGUCUCCGCAGAGAUGUGGGUUUGAUCCCUGCCUGGCACAGUGUGUUAAAGGAUCUGGCAUUGCUACAGCCCUGGCACAGGUCACAG